GCGGUAGUGGUGUAAUGGUUAGCAUGGAAGCCUGUGGAGCUUCAGGAGCGAGUUCAAUUCUCGCCUAUCGCCCCA
This 75-nucleotide transfer RNA is filed under the name Nanobdellota archaeon. RNAcentral's name for it is "tRNA-His". It matches the Rfam family "tRNA". From Rfam's summary of the family: Transfer RNA (tRNA) molecules are approximately 80 nucleotides in length. Lineage: Archaea; Nanobdellati; Nanobdellota. The record is from RNAcentral.